UUUUAUGAAGGUAGCUCAGAUGAAGAAGAGAUACCACGAAGUCCACUGAGGUUUCUUGCUCAGGUGGAGAAUGAGCCACCAGAGACCGAAGCCAACGAAAAAGCUGGCAGCCAUGACACGGUCCAGCACAGAACUCCAGUCAAAUCCCCACGCACUAAGCGCCCACCUCCGCCUGGCACAAUUGAGUCCAUCAAUCUAGAUGCUGUCCCUCAGUCUGUCUCAUGCUUGGACAACACUGCUGCCAAACAUAAACUGUCUGUCAAACCGAAGAACCAGAGGGUGUCACGCAAACAUAGAAGAUUCACACAGGACGAAGAAGUCUUUGAUUUGUCAAGAGAGGACUAUAACAUUAUCCAUAGGAGCAAAGAGGAUUAUGAACCCACUGAGAAAUCGAUAAGGCGACGAUUUCAUGAGGAGGAGCAAGAACGCCUUGAGUUUCAGAGAAGGGAACAAGAGGAAGAGAGAAAGAUGGAGGAACAACAAAGGAGAAUUGAGGAGCAGAGGCUAGAAGAAGAAAAGCAGCGCAGACAGGAAGAGGAUAGGCUGCAAAAGGAGGAAGAGGAGAGGACGCAACGAGAGGAAGAGGCAAGGAAAGAAAGGGAAGAGGAAGAAAGAAAGAGAGAAGAGGAAGAGCAAAGAUUAAAACGCGAGGAAGAGCAAAAGAGGCAAGAGGAGGAAAGAAUGUGGAAAGAGGAGGAGGAAAGAAGAAGAGCAGAGGAGGAGAGAAGGCAGCAGGAACUUGAGGCAGAGCGUCUUCAUCUGGAAGAGGAAAGAAAAAGGGAGCAGGAGGAGAGAAGGAGAAAAGAGGAGGAGGAGGCAGAACAACAUAGGAUUCAAGAGUUAGAGGAGAAACGGCAGAGAGAGGAAGAGGAGAAAAGAAGCCGACGAGAGGAGACUGAGAGAAAAAGACUAGAGGAAGAGGAGGAAAGAAAGUGGCAACAGCAAGAGGAGAAAGCUGGAGCUACUGACCCAGAAUGGAAAAGAAAAGCAGAGGAACUGAGAUGGAGAGAGAUGGAGGAGAGACAGAGGCCCUUCACUUUCAAGGUUUCUUCAGGUGAGAAGCAGAUACUUUUCCAGAAGGUCAACCUCACUCCUGUUACUCUAUCAACUGGCCAACAGGGUGAAUCAACAGCUGAAACCAGGGAGGGAGCUAAAGCUUCUUCACCAGGAUGCACAGAUUCACCAACUCUGUCUUCAUCUCUUUAUGUCCCACAUACUGCAAUUCUUGUGACAGGAGCCCAACUUUGUGGAACUGCAGUCAAUCUCGAUCAGAUCAAAGACACAGCCUGCAAGACCCUUCUUGGCCUUUCGGAAGGCAAAAAGGCCAUGAGCACUCCUCCAACCAAAAGCAAGACUUCACCAGAUCGUAAAUCUGGAAAAACCAAAUCCUUAUAUGAGUCUUCCUUAUCUGUAGACCAAUCAAAUGCUGCUGUCCUGGCAGAAUGGGCAAGUAUCCGAUCCAAAAUUUUUAAAGGUGCUGAGGAUGGAAAAUAUCCCGAAUACCCAGAUCAGAGUCGCAGGCCGAUAAGUGAGGAUCUAAAUACAGUGCCAUUCUCUCACAGCAACCUCAGGAAAACCAUGUCAGCCAGUGCUAAGUUUUCCAUCAUACCAGCCAGAAAGAAGUUUACUGAUUCCAAAAGGAACUCAGAGAGUUUGGGUCAGGAAGACAAAGAAGGUGUGACAAUAGAAUCACCAUCUACGGAAACUCCCUCUGUACAAAAAUCUGAAUUGCCCUCUUUAGGUACCAAGAUCCAGAGCAGGGGAAGCAAAGUUGUCCGCAUCACAGAUAGUGCUGAAGAAUGCAUGUUUGCCAAAGACCUCCCCUCCUUCCUUGUUCCCAGUCCACCACAUGGAUCUCCCAAAUCACAGAGAUCCGAGUCUGGAUCCCUAAGUCAGGCAGAAUCAGAAGACUUGGCUCCAAAGGAUGAAAGGGAUCAGAAGGACCAGAGUGGUGAUGAGCAGCCCUCACCUUUUGGAAUCAAGUUGAGAAGAACCAACUACUCUCUUCGCUUCCACAAUGAACAAUCUGCAGAGAAGAGGAAGAAAAGGUACAGUGCAGGAGACAAUUUUGAAGGUGUCCCAGUGCCCCUCACCUCCACUGACCAAGAUUCUGACACUUCUACACUCUCGGAAAAGUCUAGCCCUGUUUCUCCGCAACAAGAGAUUACCGGAUUUCGAUCCACUACAGCACCCAGUAAAGAAUCUCGAAGUAAGUUUAGCAGAAAUACUCUCCCUUUGGCACGCACUGAAGCCGUCAAUUUUGUCCCCAAGCCUCCAUUUUACCAAAAACCAGCUACAUCCCCCAAACCAUCUGAAGAUGCCACACCUCCACCCUCUCCUCUCCCGAAACCUGGCAGAAGGACUUCAGGGGACAUGAUUUCACAAUGGACAGGCAGUGAUCAAAAGGAAGAAGUUGCAGCAUCUGUACCAUCCCAGAAAAAUGGACAAGGGGAGGAGGAGCUUAAAGAAAAGAAGUCAUUUUUCCCAUCCAUCAGCAUGCCAUGGAGAGAAAAAACAGACCGUAGGACAGAACUAAUUAAAAAAGAAAAACCCUCUCUGCAGGCCAGGCACUCUCUGGACAGCUCACGGACACAGGAGAAAGAGACAGGACCACUUUGGAUCACUCUGGCACUGCAAAAACAGAAAGGCUUCAGAGAACAGCAGCAAAACCGAGAUGAUAGGAAGAGCCAGAGAGAAGCUAAGCUGGCUGAGAAACAGGCUAGGGACAGAGAUAGCGUAUGUGUAGAGGAUAAGGGCAAUGGAAGUCCCAGCCCUCUCAAGCCUCAAGCAGCAGAUGCGAAUAAGAGACCAGACACACUCCUGUCCCGUUUUGAACGACGUGACAACUUGAAGAAAGCAAAUACCUUGCCCAGCUCAGUCACAGUUGAAAUUACAGACUCUACACCAUCUCCGCCAGCAACAAAAGAUGUGACAAAGCGCUUCCCUCCUGGUGACACUACCCAGGUUUCUACCGAGCCUGCCUGGCUUGCCCUAGCAAAGCGUAAGACCAAAGCCUGGAGCGACUGCCCACAGAUCAUCAAGUGAUCCAUUACUGCUGACCAGUGAAAAAGCAAACAAGGCAUCUCCUUCAUCCACAUCACUUAGCCAUCACUGCACCCCAGCUCACCUCUUGCUCUGAACAAAAAGUUUAUAAUUUACUUUAGAGCAAUCAGGCAUUUCUGAAUAUUUGGUAAUUUAGUGACUAAAUAUUGUACCAAUAUUAAGAUUCACUAAGGAUUUUAUCAAAUGAUCACAUAAGACAAUGACAUCAACCUGCCCCUCUAGUUUUCAAUACACAGGAUUAUUGCAAUAACAUGCAUCAAAAGCUUAUUUACUCAUUUUGUGUCACAGCCUAUCAAACAAGCCCUAGAAUCUUCAGAGAAGUUGCAGCCCUUCAUAUAUUUGAAGUUGCCAGUGGUUAACAGUGUAUAUACACAAUGCAUGCCAAACUGUUGAUUCUAGAUAUCACUAAAACAAUAUGAGUGGUUCACAUUAAGUACAAAUGCAUCAUGUCAAGUAAAACAAGAAAGUAUGUUAUUGCUUUGGUGACAAUUCUGGGAAGCAAGUCAAGGGCUAAUAAUGACCAGCGAUGAAACCUUCACAAAUUUCACUCCCACAAGCAUGUAAAUCAGAGAAACGGAUUUGUAAUUUUUCUUGUUUUCUUUUUCCAUGUAUGCACUCAAAUGAGUUGCCACUCACAGACCUUGCCGAUGGACAGACAUUGUCACUUUUUUUAUUUCUUAUUAUAUUUGAUAUCUUGGCAAAGUAAAAAGAUCUUCACUGUGUCCGUGACAACUGUGAGUUCUGUUAUUUUAACUAUUGCUACAAAUCAUAAAUGACACGUCAGCACUGUUUACUCAUGUAAUUAACUAACAAUGAAUUUGAAGUUUCCAUGACAACAUAGUAUAUAUGCACUUGAACCGUGCUGUCAAUUGAUGAAAAAUCUACUUCUUGCAGUGUCAAUACACGCCUGUUUCUGUAGAAUUGGUUGCCUGGGAACUGCCUGCUUGCUGUAACAUAAACAAUGCUAUCCUGGCGUAGCGUGUGCUAGCAUCUCUUUUACCGCUAAUUAGCAAAACCUGCAACACGGCUAAGUGAUGGGAGAUCAGUGUUUCAAAUGCAACGUCCCGGGGAGAGAGAGUAAGAACAAAAGGUCUAGCCAAUGGAAAUAUCCUUUACAAAAAAAGGAGCAUUUCUAGUGAGUGAAUGAAUGGACUAUUAACGGACAUCACCUCUAUGUCCUUGAAUAAGGCAGCUAACCCCAGAUCGCUCCGGGGGGGAUUGUCCUUGUAGAUGCAGUUGCUCUGAAAAAAAGUGUCUGCUAAAUGAUGGAGGUUAUUAAAAUCGAAGCCUUGAUCUCUCAGCAGAGCCACUGACUCCACUAUCUAAUGUAACGUUGUAUGUAUGUAAUGUAUGUAUGUAAUAGAGGUGAAAUGAAGCAGACUGCAUUCCUUUGGAGAUCUCCUGAACUGCAGUCGCGUCACUUUGUUUUUACAUUGGUCGUGUGCAAUAGUGUAGCGUAAACAGUGUUGUAUGUGAUAUAUAACAAAAAGUUUGUUGAUAAUUACACUUUUUUUUUUGUUCCACUUUAGAAAAACCCAUUACAGAAAAAGUGAUGCAAAUGUUAUGAAAUAUGUAGAGAAAAUUAAAGGAAGCUGUUUGAAAUCGGUGGACUGAAACUCCUGUUUUUGCACAAAAACAAACAUAACAUUAAUGCUAAAAACAUUUAUGUAUUUUGCAGGAUAUAUAUACGUACAAUACAUACUAAAUAUAUCCAUGUCAUUUUUUAAUAGGUGCUUUUGGGAGUCACCCAUAAAAAUAUACUUAUCCAGUUAUGAGUGAGAGCCAAUUAACACGGUGGUCCUAUCAGGACCCACCAGCAGCACUGGAGAGGCAUCCCCACACCUGCCCAUGUCUGAACUCCAGAGGAUCCGCAGGCCCAGUGGCAGGACAUCGGAAGAUCUUCCCUUGAACCUUCACCCAUACCUGGGCUCUCAGAGACAGGAAACGUCUCGGUGAAACUAUAGAGCCUGAAUCAUCCCGCAUUCUCUUCUUUGAUGGCUGGAUUGCACUAUGUGUUUCUGUCAUGACGUGGCUAACAACAUCUGAGAAAGAGCCAUCUAAUAUGACCUCCAGCAGGCCCAAAAAGGUUGUCCUCAUGGCAACAGUGAUCUCAUCAAAGAGACGCAGGGCCUGAAGGGAGUCUCCUCCACUUAACAUGAAGUGUGCAUCUUCCUCAACCACCACGUCAUUUGGCAGGCCAAGGCAUUCAUAAUAUACACAGACAAGCACACAAUGGCAGUUUCACUCAGCAGGCAAUAGGAAAUAUCUUAUUUAAUAAAUACCUCCACGUGUCCA
Molecule: long non-coding RNA, 5358 nt
Organism: Cyprinus carpio carpio
Lineage: Eukaryota; Metazoa; Chordata; Actinopteri; Cypriniformes; Cyprinidae
Source: Ensembl